This is a long non-coding RNA of Rosa rugosa (rugosa rose), 1309 nucleotides long. RefSeq lists it as uncharacterized. The transcript is spliced from 5 exons. NCBI's taxonomy places the organism in Eukaryota, Viridiplantae, Streptophyta, Magnoliopsida, Rosales, Rosaceae. The record is from RefSeq and is a predicted model, not a curated record.
AACCCUAGCCUUUCUCAUUUUCUCCUUCUUCCUCUUUCAGCCGCACAUGCCUCUUUCUCUCUGCUCUCCCUCUCUUCCUCUCACCUUCUCUCUGUCACGCCGGAAAGCUCGACUUCCGGCCGUCGACUUUGACACCGCCACCACCAAAAGAUAGCCCAAGCGAUGAAGAAUAAAACCUCAGCCACCCUUCCAUCGAUCGAGAUCACCGGACCACCGCACGCGACUCCCAAACCUACUACAUCACUGUUCCUUAACCCUCUUCGAUCUCCGUCCAUUUUUCAAUACACGGCCACCACGAACGUGCUCAGACCAAGAUUCAAAAUCCAAGAGUUUCGUCGACCAUUGAGGCUGAAAGACCACCGGGUGACGCCUUCUCACUCAAUCAUUCUCCUACUCUGCCAAAAGAAAAGAGACUGCGUGAUGCAUAUGAGAAACUCAAAAAGAGAGGUAUCCCACUAGCAUCAAAGCAAGUGAAUUACAGUCUCAUAUACAAGGCACCAGAGGAGAAUGGAGUUAAGGCUACCUGUGACAAACUUGGGAUCACUUUGAUUGCCUAUUAACCUAUUGCUCAAGGUACAGUGUGAAUUUUUGAUGUUUUGCAUUCCUUUUAAUAAUGCCUUUUCUAACAUGUUUCUGCAGGAAUAUAAGGAGAAGCCAGGUUAUGCACGUUGUGUUGCUAUUGUAGCAUCUGCAUCUUUGAGGGAGAUGAUAAAACCUGGUGCCUUGGCUAUUGUUUCACCUAUAGCAGUUGGUAUUGCGUUCCGGAUAUUUGGAUACUAUACUGGGCAGCCUCUACUUGGUGCUAAAGUUGUGGCUUCCAUGCUGAUGUUUGAAACAGUGUCUGGUAUUCUCAUGGCUCUUUUCCUGAACACGGCAGGUGGUGCCUGGGAUAACGCAAAGAAGUACAUCGAGACGGGUUCUCGGAGGCAAAGGAAGUGAUUGUUAUAAGGCUGCAGUUACAGGAGACACAUAUGGUAAUCAGAUCAUGAGUGGGGCUUGAAGGUUUGUACUGACAGGUGGCCAAGAUUUUAUAAAAUUUUGCAAGGUCACAGAAGCACUGGAGAUGUUGCAGCUGCAAGUAGGAACUGAAGUGUUGUGGAGAUCCUCUUACCUUUAUCUGUUUUGGUAUUUAGACUCUUUAGGUAUAUAUAGGCAUGGUUAAUGUGCAUUGGACACAUUUAUCGACAAGUUUAUGUUUUUGGCCUUUAAGUAUAUUGGCAAGGUUAGUAUGUGUUAAUAUUGGGAUGAACCUACUGCUGAUGGAAUAUUGUAGAUCUUGUUGGAUUCAAUGGAAAGCUUUUGGUAUCAA